UUGGCCAUACCACAUUGAAAACACCGGUUCUCGUCCGAUCACCGAAGUUAGGCAAUGGCGGGCCCGGUCAGUACUUGGGAGGGUGACCACCUGGGAACACCGGGUGCUGUAGGCU
Molecule: ribosomal RNA, 115 nt
Filed under: Cordylochernes scorpioides
Lineage: Eukaryota; Metazoa; Arthropoda; Arachnida; Pseudoscorpiones; Chernetidae
Source: RNAcentral